RNAcentral lists this RNase P RNA (280 nucleotides) under Chloroflexota bacterium. Its description in RNAcentral is "Chloroflexi bacterium (marine metagenome) partial RNase P RNA component class A". It matches the Rfam family "Bacterial RNase P class A", at positions 1 to 250 of the family's 367-position model. From Rfam's summary of the family: Ribonuclease P (RNase P) is a ubiquitous endoribonuclease, found in archaea, bacteria and eukarya as well as chloroplasts and mitochondria. Its best characterised activity is the generation of mature 5'-ends of tRNAs by cleaving the 5'-leader elements of precursor-tRNAs. The record is from RNAcentral. Lineage: Bacteria; Bacillati; Chloroflexota.
CAGGCUGGCCGGGUGAUCGCGCCCUGAGCGGAGUCCUGAGCUUCGGCGAAGGACGAAGUUGAAGGGCGAGGAAAGUCCGCACUCCACAGAGCACGAUGUCGGAUAACAUCCGGAGGGAAGUAAUUUCCUGUACCGGGCCACAGAAACAAACCGCAAAGCUCACACUUGUGUGAGCCGCAAGGGUGAAAAGGUGGUGUAAGAGACCACCGGCGUCGGCAGUAAUGCCGGCGGCCAGGCAACCCCCAUCGGGAGCAAGGCCAAGCAGGGACGAUGUGGCUGC